This 362-nucleotide ribosomal RNA is filed under the name Clostridium sp. enrichment culture clone MB2_20_fwd. RNAcentral's name for it is "bacterial SSU rRNA". It matches the Rfam family "Bacterial small subunit ribosomal RNA", at positions 136 to 514 of the family's 1533-position model. The record is from RNAcentral. Lineage: Bacteria; Bacillati; Bacillota; Clostridia; Eubacteriales; Clostridiaceae.
CAAAGGGAUAGCCUCGGGAAACUGGGGAUUAAUACCUUAUGACACUCUUAGAUCGCAUGAUCAUAGAGUUAAAGCGCAAAGCGGUGAAAGAUGGUCUCGCGUCCUAUUAGCUAGUUGGUGAGGUAACGGCUCACCAAGGCUUCGAUAGGUAGCCGGCCUGAGAGGGUGAACGGCCACACUGGAACUGAGACACGGUCCAGACUCCUACGGGAGGCAGCAGUGGGGAAUAUUGCACAAUGGAGGAAACUCUGAUGCAGCGACGCCGCGUGAAUGAUGAAGGCCUUCGGGUUGUAAAGUUCUGUCCUUGGGGAAGAUAAUGACGGUACCCGAGGAGGAAGCCCCGGCUAACUACGUGCCAGCAC